This is a ribosomal RNA of 755 nucleotides. It matches the Rfam family "Bacterial small subunit ribosomal RNA", at positions 64 to 802 of the family's 1533-position model.
GAGCGGAUUGAAGGGAGCUUGCUCCCUGAUAUUAGCGGCGGACGGGUGAGUAACACGUGGGCAACCUGCCCUGCAGAUGGGGAUAACUCCGGGAAACCGGGGCUAAUACCGAAUAAUCGGUUCUUCCGCAUGGAAGAACUCUGAAAGACGGUUUCGGCUGUCACUGCAGGAUGGGCCCGCGGCGCAUUAGCUAGUUGGUGGGGUAACGGCCUACCAAGGCGACGAUGCGUAGCCGACCUGAGAGGGUGAUCGGCCACACUGGGACUGAGACACGGCCCAGACUCCUACGGGAGGCAGCAGUAGGGAAUCUUCCACAAUGGACGAAAGUCUGAUGGAGCAACGCCGCGUGAGCGAAGAAGGUUUUCGGAUCGUAAAGCUCUGUUGCGAGGGAAGAACAAGUACGGGAGUAACUGCCCGUACCUUGACGGUACCUCGUUAGAAAGCCACGGCUAACUACGUGCCAGCAGCCGCGGUAAUACGUAGGUGGCAAGCGUUGUCCGGAAUUAUUGGGCGUAAAGCGCGCGCAGACGGUCCUUUAAGUCUGAUGUGAAAGCCCACGGCUCAACCGUGGAGGGUCAUUGGAAACUGGAGGACUUGAGUACAGAAGAGGAAAGUGGAAUUCCACGUGUAGCGGUGAAAUGCGUAGAGAUGUGGAGGAACACCAGUGGCGAAGGCGACUUUCUGGUCUGUAACUGACGUUGAGGCGCGAAAGCGUGGGGAGCAAACAGGAUUAGAUACCCUGGUAGUCCACGCCG